Molecule: transfer RNA, 76 nt
Filed under: Escherichia coli
Lineage: Bacteria; Pseudomonadati; Pseudomonadota; Gammaproteobacteria; Enterobacterales; Enterobacteriaceae
Description: tRNA-Val
Rfam family: tRNA
About the family: Transfer RNA (tRNA) molecules are approximately 80 nucleotides in length. Their secondary structure includes four short double-helical elements and three loops (D, anti-codon, and T loops).
Source: RNAcentral
GGUUGAUUAGCUCUGCUGGGAGAGCACCUCCCUUACAAGUAGGGGGUCGCCGUUUCGAUCCCGUCAUCCCCCACCA